Molecule: RNA transcript, 2390 nt
Organism: Vitis riparia (riverbank grape)
Lineage: Eukaryota; Viridiplantae; Streptophyta; Magnoliopsida; Vitales; Vitaceae
Gene name: inactive leucine-rich repeat receptor-like protein kinase CORYNE
Exons: 3
Source: RefSeq, a predicted model, not a curated record
AUUUUAUUAUUAUGAUGUUUUAAAGCAUAUAUAAAUUUUUGGUUUUGCUGUUGAUGAGGGGAUGUGGUGGAAUGUGGUGUAUGCAACCAAUUUUCUUUUUCUUUUUAUUUGCUUUGGCUUUUUGCGUGUAGAUUUGGAGAUUCAGCUUCUACAGGUAGAUUCGUCUGGAAAGGAACGAUUUUCUGUUGAAAGAAAAAAGAAAAGAAUCAGUCUCAAAACGAUUCUAUGUGUCUUUCUUGUGAAGAUUUAGAGCUGAAAUUCGAUUGUUGUUGGCCUCUUUUGGGUGCCUCAACUUGGUUUCUCUCUACCCAUUUUCCCUGAAAAUCUAAUGGGCUAUCUGGGCAUUUUCCGGGAAAAUUUUUGCAGUGUUAUAAAUCUUCAUUUUGGAGCUUCCAAGUAGCUGUUUCUCUGGAGACUUAAGCUGGGUUUUGGAUCGUUUGGUCUGUAGCUUGAAGCUCUUCGGAAGAUCCUCUAUACAAGUACAUGGGGUUUGUUUGAUUCUUGAUAAUUUGGUUUCUGGGGUUUGUUCAUUCCAUGGAGAAGACGAGCAGAGAAGCCUUUUCCCUGCUUUUCCUGCUCAUCUUCAUCCAUUUCUACAACGUAAAAUGCCAAGAAAACAUUAUCAACCGCGUCUCCACUGAUUCUUCUCCAUCUCCAUCUAGAGAAGCAGAAUUCAAAAGUGGUCUCAAGAAGAUAAUCCUCAGCAUAGUAUUCGGGGUUUUAACCGGUUUGCUCUCCGCCGCCUUGUGCGCCGGCAUAGUCCACUGCGUCGUCCGCUACAUGAACCGAACCCCAAUUCUCAAAGGCCCAGUUGUAUUCUCCCCCAAAAUCGCCCCCAAAACGGUCCAAUCCGCGCUUGACAGUGAGAAUCAGCUUCUAGGAUCAAGCCCCAAUGGAAAAUACUACAAAACCGCUCUCGAUAAUGGACUCAUAAUCGCAGUCAAGAGGCUUGAACCCUUUGAGACUGGCUCACCAGAAACCCAAAGUAAAUCCGUGAAGAGAAGAAUUCAGCAGGAACUAGAAAUGCUAGCCAACUUGAGACAUAGAAAUUUGAUGAGUUUGCGGGCUUAUGUCCGCGAUUCCGAUAGGUUUUCACUGGUCUAUGACUAUGUCCCCACUGGGAGUCUUGAGGACGCCAUGAAUAGAGUUAGGGAGAAUCAGCUGCAGCUUAGUUGGGAGGUUCGGCUUAGGAUUGCAGUUGGGGUGAUCAAGGGUCUUCAGUAUCUUCAUUUCAACUGCGUUCCUAGAAUUUUACACUAUAAUCUGAAGCCAACCAAUGUAAUGUUGGAUGCAGAGUUUGAGCCUAGAUUGGCAGAUUGCGGGCUGGCUAAGCUCAUGCCUAAUUUGGAUAGAGCUGCGUCGGGGUAUAGCGCUCCAGAGUGUUUCCAGAAUUGCAGGUAUACUGAGAAGAGCGACGUGUUCAGCUUUGGGGUCAUACUGGGGGUUCUGCUAACUGGUAGAGACCCCAUGGAUCCAUUCUUUAGUGAAGCAGCAGGUGGGGGGAGUUUGGGACGGUGGCUUCGCCAUUUGCAGCAAGCAGGAGAGGCAAGAGAGGCAUUGGAUAAGAGCAUCCUUGGGGAAGAAGUAGAGGAAGAUGAGAUGCUGAUGGCAGUGAGAAUUGCUGUUGUUUGCCUAUCUGAUUUGCCUGCAGAUCGGCCUUCCAGCGAUGAGCUCGUCCCAAUGCUCACCCAACUGCACAGCUUUUGAAGGAACUGUAAGUAAUUCACCAAACUUCAGUUUCUGCAGAUUCUGGGAUUUGGAUUUUUUGGGCUGUUUCUUUCAGGGUUUUGGCGUUCAAUUGGCAUGGAGUCUUGCUCUUUUUCGGCUAUUUUGGAGGGGCAAUGCAGCUGCUGCCUUCAGUAUGUUUGGUUUCUCACAACUCUUGAGUCUGAUUUCACUGCAUCUAUCAUUUGUAUUUGCUUUGGGAGCCAUGAAAAAAGGGUCUGAGAAAAAGCAUAUGUGGUGGGGUUGUUGGGAACUACUGAUAGGUCAUUCACUUGGGUCCAACUCCGACUCAAGGCAUGCUCCAAAAAUUAGUUUUAAAUAUACAAAAGAAAGAAAGGCAUGGCCCAUGGUUUGGAGCAAGCAACUGUCAGUUAGUCAUUACACUACAGCUGUGGGCCUCUGGCUGCUACAAAAAAGAACGGAAAAUUCUAAGUUACCGGUUGCUUUUAUUAUCUUUUAAUAACGGUUCAAGCAAAAUGAGAGUUGGUUGAAAAAAUUGGAACAGAUCGUUACAUUGCUUUUCAGCCUCGAGAAAAAUCUAGGAGAAAAACGUAUCACUCAAUAUGCAACUUGGGUGGACUGAUGGUCAAUUCAACUGUCCAAUCCAACCCGAUUUGAUAUCUUGUUAUUCGAUUUGAGUUCAAUCAAAGUGUUCUUUUCCUAAA